CUACGGGAGGCAGCAGUGGGGAAUAUUGCACAAUGGGCGCAAGCCUGAUGCAGCCAUGCCGCGUGUGUGAAGAAGGCCUUCGGGUUGUAAAGCACUUUCAGCGGGGAGGAAGGCGUUAAGGUUAAUAACCUUGGCGAUUGACGUUACCCGCAGAAGAAGCACCGGCUAACUCCGUGCCAGCAGCCGCGGUAAUACGGAGGGUGCAAGCGUUAAUCGGAAUUACUGGGCGUAAAGCGCACGCAGGCGGUCUGUCAA
RNAcentral lists this ribosomal RNA (255 nucleotides) under Klebsiella pneumoniae. RNAcentral's name for it is "partial 16S ribosomal RNA". It matches the Rfam family "Bacterial small subunit ribosomal RNA", at positions 339 to 586 of the family's 1533-position model. Lineage: Bacteria; Pseudomonadati; Pseudomonadota; Gammaproteobacteria; Enterobacterales; Enterobacteriaceae. The record is from RNAcentral.